AUACGUAGGGGGCGAGCGUUGUCCGGAAUGAUUGGGCGUAAAGGGCGCGUAGGCGGCCCGGUAAGUCUGGAGUGAAAGUCCUGUUUUUAAGAUGGGAAUUGCUUUGGAUACUGUCGGGCUUGAGUGCAGGAGAGGUAAGUGGAAUUCCCAGUGUAGCGGUGAAAUGCGUAGAGAUUGGGAGGAACACCAGUGGCGAAGGCGACUUACUGGACUGUAACUGACGCUGAGGCGCGGAAGUGUGGGGAGCAAACAGGAUUAGAUACCCUGGUAGUCCACACUGUAAACGAUGAAUGCUAGGUGUAGGGGGUAUCGACCCCUUCUGUGCCGCAGUCAACACAAUAAGCAUUCCGCCUGGGGAGUACGGCCGCAAGGUUGAAACUCAAAGGAAUUGACGGGG
This 397-nucleotide ribosomal RNA is filed under the name uncultured bacterium. RNAcentral describes it as "partial 16S ribosomal RNA". It matches the Rfam family "Bacterial small subunit ribosomal RNA", at positions 523 to 918 of the family's 1533-position model. The record is from RNAcentral.